This is a non-coding RNA of Triticum urartu, 667 nucleotides long. Lineage: Eukaryota; Viridiplantae; Streptophyta; Magnoliopsida; Poales; Poaceae. The record is from RefSeq and is a predicted model, not a curated record.
AGCUGAGUUUGGCAAGGAGGCUGUGCUCUAGUGGCCAUUGAAGAGUAACUUCUGAUGAGUUAUCUGAUCCAGCAAUUAAAGUGUUACUGCAAAGCUUAGUUAAGAGAAGAAGGGGCUGUGGUCUGUAUCUAUGACCAAAACCUCGCUGGGUGGCCACUUCUUGAUCAUGGAAUCUUGCUGCUGAGGGUCCAGCAUGAGGUCACGCUGUGUCUUUAUGAAAACCCGCUUUAUUCGAUUCAAUCUCUCAUCAGCUCCUUCAAAGCUUGCAGUACCAAUAGCACUUGCAGGCCAUGGGCGCAUCAGCAUUGAAGCCAGUAUUGACUCCUGAACAAGAUUUUUUUCAUAAAACAUGUGGCUUUGCUGUGAUAGUCGAUCACGCUGGAAUUCUAAUCUCAAGGCGACGGUAGUUGGAGGAUCAUCUGCUCCUGCACCGAAUGUCAACUCGGUCUCAUUCUCAGGCAAACUUGGAUCCUACCUUCUCGCCCUCCGGCAAGGCGGAGAUGAGGCGCAGGAGCGGCUUGUCAUACUGGUCGAAUGACCGGACAGUGUUGGGGUCGGUGGGGUCUACGCCGCUUCCAGCAAGGUCUAUGCAGGUCACCUGGUAGCCGGAGCCCUCAAGGAGCCACCGGAGCUUGAACCAGCACCACCCUCCAUGACCUUCCCCAUG